RNAcentral lists this ribosomal RNA (445 nucleotides) under uncultured bacterium. Its description in RNAcentral is "partial 16S ribosomal RNA". It matches the Rfam family "Bacterial small subunit ribosomal RNA", at positions 354 to 796 of the family's 1533-position model. The record is from RNAcentral.
GUGAGGAAUAUUGGACAAUGGAUGGAAAUCUGAUCCAGCCAUGCCGCGUGCAGGAAGACGGCCCUAUGGGUUGUAAACUGCUUUUAUACGGGAGCAAUAAGGUCUAUGCAUAGAUUGAUGAGAGUACCGUAUGAAUAAGCAUCGGCUAACUCCGUGCCAGCAGCCGCGGUAAUACGGAGGAUGCGAGCGUUAUCCGGAUUUAUUGGGUUUAAAGUGUGCGUAGGCGGCUUUGUAAGUCAGCGGUGAAAUUUUGCAGCUUAACUGUAAAAGCGGCGUUGAUACUGUGAAGCUAGGAUUUGGUUGCUGUAGGCGGAAUGUGUGGUGUAGCGGUGAAAUGCAUAGAGAUCACACAGAAUAUCGAUUGCGAAGGCAGCUCACAAAGCCAAUAUUGACGCUGAGGCACGAAAGUGUGGGGAUCAAACAGGAUUAGAAACCCGGGUAGUCC